Diachasmimorpha longicaudata is the source of this 1811-nucleotide RNA transcript. The record is from RefSeq and is a predicted model, not a curated record. Lineage: Eukaryota; Metazoa; Arthropoda; Insecta; Hymenoptera; Braconidae.
UGUUGAAGAAACGAUUUGGGACGUUCAGACGUUGUCUUCUCCGUUGUGAUUCAAUCGUUCAUUUUUAGUAACGAAGAGGUAGUUAAUUAAUAACAAUGUCGUUAGCUGACGAAUUGUUAGCGGAUUUGGAGGAGAAUGAUGAUGCUGAUGCAUUUAUGGAUGAUCCAGAAGCAGAUUUUAUUCCACCGAGUAUUGUGCAGCCUAUGGAAGAAGACAUCAAAGUCGCAUCGAUUCGAGAGUUGGCGAAACUCCGGGACUCCCCGGAGCUUCAAAAAAUAAUGUCAGAUAUUGAGAAAUACUCAAAAAUUCCGAGGAAUUCAAAAGAUAUAAUGGGUCCCGUGGAAUCGGAUGCAGAGUAUCAAUUAAUUGUCGAAGCAAACAACAUGGCGGUCGGAAUAGACGAUGAAAUAACAACAGUCCAUCGUUUCGUCAGAGAUAAGUAUUCAAAGAGAUUUCCUGAGCUGGAAUCGUUGGUCGUGGGACCCCUGGACUAUGUGAUGACAGUCAGAGAAUUGGGAAAUGAUUUGGAUCGAGCCAAGAACAAUGAGAUUCUCCAGCAGUUCCUGACACAGGCGACAAUUAUGGUUGUUUCUGUGACUGCAUCAACGACUCAAGGACAACUUCUCAGUGAUGAGGAGAAAGAUGCCAUUUGUGAGGCCUGCGACAUGGCUGUAGAAUUGAAUAAUUGUAAAUUGAAAAUUUUCGAGUAUGUGGAGAGCAGGAUGGCAUUUAUUGCGCCAAAUUUGUCGAUUAUCAUUGGUGCUUCCACCGCUGCAAAGAUCAUGGGAGUCGCUGGAGGACUAUCGAAGCUGUCUAGAAUGCCUGCUUGCAAUGUUCUCGUUCUGGGAAGCCAGAAGACUACACUCUCUGGGUUCUCACAAACUGCAGCUCUACCUCAUACGGGAUUCAUUUAUUACUCGGAUAUUGUUCAGGACACACCACCGGAUUUAAGAAGAAAAGCAGCGAGACUCGUUGCUGCAAAGAGCGUGUUAGCAGCUCGAGUGGAUGCUUGUCAUGAGAGUAGUGAUGGUCAGAUUGGCCGAUCCUUGCGUGAGGAAAUAGAAAAGAAAUUGGAUAAAUUUCAAGAACCACCGCCCGUGAAGUUCAUCAAACCUCUACCCAAGCCAAUUGACCCUGGCAGGAAGAAGAGGGGUGGUAAGAGGGUUCGUAAAAUGAAGGAGAGAUAUGCCAUUACGGAAUUCAGGAAGCAUGCAAAUAGGAUGAAUUUUGCUGAUAUUGAGAGUGAUGCAUAUCAAGAGGAUUUAGGUUACACUAGGGGGACAAUUGGCAAAGCAGGAACUGGCAGAAUUCGGCUACCCCAAAUAGACGAGAAAACCAAAGUUCGAAUAUCAAAGACCCUCCAGAAAAAUCUACAGAAACAACAACAAUGGGGUGGAAGUACAACGGUCAAGAAACAAGUAUCUGGUACAGCUUCUAGUGUCGCCUUCACUCCCUUACAAGGGCUGGAAAUCGUAAAUCCACAGGCUGCUGAGAAGAAAGUUAACGAGGCCAAUGCCAAAUACUUUUCCAAUACUGCUGGCUUUUUACAAGUCAAAAGAACAUAAGACUUAUGAAUCAAGUCUACAAAAUUUGUUGAACUCGAUUGAGUUGCUGGAGAUGGAGCAGUGGUUCCAGUAAUUUCGGUAGAUUGAUAAGCCAAGUUUUUGAAUUGUCCGAGAAUGUGAGAAUAAAAACUCUCAAAAUUAACGUGGAAAAGGAGAUCAGAGACGUGGACACUAGUGUAAACGAGUGGAACUGACGAAAGAAUGAGAGCAAGUGCCUUCCUUUCCUCCCGUUUGAAAUUGAAAAAU